This 170-nucleotide ribosomal RNA is filed under the name Laccaria sp. RNAcentral describes it as "5.8S ribosomal RNA". It matches the Rfam family "5.8S ribosomal RNA". Rfam says of the family: 5.8S ribosomal RNA (5.8S rRNA) is a component of the large subunit of the eukaryotic ribosome. It is transcribed by RNA polymerase I as part of the 45S precursor that also contains 18S and 28S rRNA. Lineage: Eukaryota; Fungi; Basidiomycota; Agaricomycetes; Agaricales; Hydnangiaceae. The record is from RNAcentral.
ACUACAACUUUCAGCAACGGAUCUCUUGGCUCUCGCAUCGAUGAAGAACGCAGCGAAAUGCGAUAAGUAAUGUGAAUUGCAGAAUUCAGUGAAUCAUCGAAUCUUUGAACGCACCUUGCGCUCCUUGGUAUUCCGAGGAGCAUGCCUGUUUGAGUGUCAUUAAAUUCUCA